AUUGAACGCUGGCGGAAUGCUUUACACAUGCAAGUCGAACGGUAGAGGGGGCAACCCCUUGAGAGUGGCGAACGGGUGCGUAAUGCCUAGGAAUCUGCCUAGUGGUGGGGAUAACGUUCGGAAACGGACGCUAAUACCGCAUACGUCCUACGGGAGAAAGCGGGGGAUCUUCGGACCUCGCGCCAUUAGAUGAGCCUAGGUCGGAUUAGCUAGUUGGUGAGGUAAAGGCUCACCAAGCCGACGAUCUGUAGCUGGUCUGAGAGGACGACCAGCCACACUGGGACUGAGACACGGCCCAGACUCCUACGGGAGGCAGCAGUGGGGAAUUUUGGACAAUGGGCGCAAGCCUGAUCCAGCAAUGCCGCGUGCAGGAUGAAGGCCU
This 382-nucleotide ribosomal RNA is filed under the name uncultured bacterium. Its description in RNAcentral is "bacterial SSU rRNA". It matches the Rfam family "Bacterial small subunit ribosomal RNA", at positions 30 to 417 of the family's 1533-position model. The record is from RNAcentral.